This 18-nucleotide small nuclear RNA is filed under the name Arabidopsis thaliana (thale cress). Its description in RNAcentral is "snRNA_16894". The record is from RNAcentral. Lineage: Eukaryota; Viridiplantae; Streptophyta; Magnoliopsida; Brassicales; Brassicaceae.
UACCGCUCUCUUUUAAAA